Long non-coding RNA from Gorilla gorilla gorilla (western lowland gorilla), 663 nucleotides. RefSeq lists it as uncharacterized. Lineage: Eukaryota; Metazoa; Chordata; Mammalia; Primates; Hominidae. The transcript is spliced from 3 exons. The record is from RefSeq and is a predicted model, not a curated record.
GCCCCAGGUCUCCGCUCUCCGAGGCAGCUGGUGCCAUGGGAAGAGAAACGCUUUUGGUGUGGGCUCAGCACACCUCUCACUAGUGCGUGGACUGCACACCUCCUUCCUUCACAAGCCGCUGUUUCCCCGUCUUUGAAAAGGGGAUGAGGACCCCCACCCCACAGUGCUGCUGAGGGGAUGUGGCCAAACCGCACAGCCAAGUGCCGGGCGCCUAGCUGGGCCUCAGUGGGGAUGAGGAAACUGAGGCACAGGGCGGUCCAGUCAUGUGUCAGCCAGUGGUGAAGCUAGGAGCCCCUUCACUAAGCACAGUGUUAUCUUGCUUCUCCUCCAACGUUGCUCAGCGUCUGAAAUUCAGCUUGAUGUAUUUAAGUCAGACACAAGAAAGGACUUCCAGACCAAGGAGUUUAGAUGCAGAAAUGGGAGGGCAGCAGAAAAGGCCGAUUCAGCACGGACCAGAGAAUAACACAGGGAGGCGCAUUACUGGCCCUCUCUCUCUCUGCAUUCUUGAAGGCACCUAGAGGAAAGCUCUCUAGAAGAGGGGCAGUUGGGGCUGGGCAUGGUGUCUCACCCCUGUAAUCCCAGCAUUUUGGGAGGCCGAGGCGGGCGGAUCACCUGAGGUCGGGAGUUCGAGGCCAGCCUGACCAACAUGGAGAAAUCCCGUCU